UGCACUCACCUGCUGUUUGAAAGUGGAGA
RNAcentral lists this non-coding RNA (29 nucleotides) under Mus musculus (house mouse). Lineage: Eukaryota; Metazoa; Chordata; Mammalia; Rodentia; Muridae. The record is from RNAcentral.